UUUUUUUUAAUGAGUUCCUGAACUGCCCAGAAAACCCUCACAUAGGUUGAUUCAUGGAUCCACAAAGAACUAAGGACACUUUGGUUCCAUGUUUAACAAUGAUGAUGAGGAUGUUCAAGAGCUUAACAAUAAUAGUUGUGACUGAACCCAAAAUGACUUCCUCAUUUCCACAACAAAUGAAAGUAUUUCAAGUUUGUGAAAACAUUUGUUGUCUCUGAAAAUUUGGAUAAAGAUUCUUGAACGUAAUAACAUAUACAGAUCUGAAUUUUAAUGUGAUGUACUAUUGAGUCAGGUUUUUAAAGCUGAUCUUUAAAAAUACAUGAUGUUCCAUUAAUUUAAUAAUUACAAUUUCUAUGUACUAAAUUCUUACUGGGACCUACAAGCUGUUUUUAAAGAAUAAUAUCAAUAUGUAUAAAUCUCAUUAUCAUCUUAUGAAAUCUCUGGAAUGUUAAAAAAGAAGGAUGUAUAAACAUACCUAUUCUACCGAACAAACCUCAAUGA
This 501-nucleotide long non-coding RNA is filed under the name Bos taurus (domestic cattle). RNAcentral's name for it is "long non-coding RNA NONBTAT000057". The record is from RNAcentral. Lineage: Eukaryota; Metazoa; Chordata; Mammalia; Artiodactyla; Bovidae.